This 1252-nucleotide ribosomal RNA is filed under the name Proteus mirabilis. RNAcentral describes it as "bacterial LSU rRNA". It matches the Rfam family "Bacterial large subunit ribosomal RNA", at positions 657 to 1892 of the family's 2925-position model. The record is from RNAcentral. Lineage: Bacteria; Pseudomonadati; Pseudomonadota; Gammaproteobacteria; Enterobacterales; Morganellaceae.
AUAGGGGAGCCGUAGGGAAACCGAGUCUUAACUGGGCGAAUGAGUUGCAGGGUAUAGACCCGAAACCCGGUGAUCUAUCCAUGGGCAGGUUGAAGGUUGGGUAACACUAACUGGAGGACCGAACCGACUAAUGUUGAAAAAUUAGCGGAUGACUUGUGGAUGGGGGUGAAAGGCCAAUCAAACCGGGAGAUAGCUGGUUCUCCCCGAAAGCUAUUUAGGUAGCGCCUCGUGAAUUCAUCUUCGGGGGUAGAGCACUGUUUCGACUAGGGGGUCAUCCCGACUUACCAACUCGAUGCAAACUGCGAAUACCGAAGAAUGUUAUCACGGGAGACACACGGCGGGUGCUAACGUCCGUCGUGAAGAGGGAAACAACCCAGACCGCCAGCUAAGGUCCCAAAGUCAUGGUUAAGUGGGAAACGAAGUGGGAAGGCUCAGACAGCCAGGAUGUUGGCUUAGAAGCAGCCAUCAUUUAAAGAAAGCGUAAUAGCUCACUGGUCGAGUCGGCCCGCGCGGAAGAUGUAACGGGGCUAAACCAUGCACCGAAGCUGCGGCAGCGACACAAAGUGUUGUUGGGUAGGGGAGCGUUCUGUAAGCCUGCGAAGGUGUACUGUGAGGUAUGCUGGAGGUAUCAGAAGUGCGAAUGCUGACAUAAGUAACGAUAAUGCGGGUGAAAAACCCGCACGCCGGAAGACCAAGGGUUCCUGUCCAACGUUAAUCGGGGCAGGGUGAGUCGACCCCUAAGGCGAGGCUGAAAAGCGUAGUCGAUGGGAAACGGGUUAAUAUUCCCGUACUGGUGGUAACUGCGAUGGGGGAACGGAGAAGGCUAGGUUGUCCGGGCGACGGUCGUCCCGGUUCAAGCAGGUAGGCAGAGUGAUUAGGCAAAUCCGGUCACUUAAUGCUGAGAUGUGAUGACGAACCACUAAGGUGGUGAAGCAAUUGAUGCCCCGCUUCCAGGAAAAGCCUCUAAGCUUCAGGUUACCAACAAUCGUACCCCAAACCGACACAGGUGGUCAGGUAGAGAAUACUCAGGCGCUUGAGAGAACUCGGGUGAAGGAACUAGGCAAAAUGGUGCCGUAACUUCGGGAGAAGGCACGCUGGCGGUAGGUAAAGUCCCUCGCGGACAGAGCUGAAGCCAGUCGAAGAUACCAGCUGGCUGCAACUGUUUAUUAAAAACACAGCACUGUGCAAACACGAAAGUGGACGUAUACGGUGUGACGCCUGCCCGGUGCUGGAAGGUUAAUUGAUGGGGUUA